RNAcentral lists this signal recognition particle RNA (313 nucleotides) under Candidatus Bathyarchaeota archaeon. Its description in RNAcentral is "signal recognition particle sRNA". It matches the Rfam family "Archaeal signal recognition particle RNA". The record is from RNAcentral. Lineage: Archaea; Thermoproteati; Candidatus Bathyarchaeota.
CGGCGGGUAAGGCUGGGAGGCUUGCCCUCUCCUACAAACCUGAAACGGGCAACAUGCUGGGGCCAGUAACCUGAGGAGCGCGACCAAGCGCUCCAGGGGGCCUGCCUGCCACUGGGUUGAAGUCCAGCUCUGUCGGGCGAGUGCAGGAGUAGGCGCAUCUGUAGGGGUGCGCCGUAUCCCUAACCGACGAAUGCGCCAGGCCCGGGAGGGAGCAGCGGUAAGGCGGGCUACUUUGCGCUGGCAGAAAAACUGGGCUGACUGGCGGAGGCAGGUACUCCUGAAGAAUGCUGGCCGCCAUCCGAGGGAGCCGCCG